This is a small nucleolar RNA of Pristis pectinata (smalltooth sawfish), 244 nucleotides long. RefSeq annotates it as small nucleolar RNA SNORA53. The transcript has a single exon. The record is from RefSeq and is a predicted model, not a curated record. NCBI's taxonomy places the organism in Eukaryota, Metazoa, Chordata, Chondrichthyes, Rhinopristiformes, Pristidae.
AACACAUUCCUUAGAUCCACCUUUGGGAUGUAUCUGUCUUGCUGUUCUGGAUCAUUCCAUGUGAUGGGUUUUCCAUUACGGUUGCCAGAUAAUCCACAACUUUCAUGGUUGUACAGUCGAAGGUGCUUGAGUCAUUGAUGUGUGAGAAUAAUCUACCUGCAUGUUAGCCUUGCCUGUUCCUUUGUGAAUAGUCUGUAUUACAUUCUAUUUCCUGCCACUGGGACUUGGCUGAUUUGCGGACAUA